RNAcentral lists this ribosomal RNA (506 nucleotides) under uncultured bacterium. RNAcentral's name for it is "partial 16S ribosomal RNA". It matches the Rfam family "Bacterial small subunit ribosomal RNA", at positions 29 to 523 of the family's 1533-position model. The record is from RNAcentral.
AGUGAACGCUGGCGGUAGGCCUAACACAUGCAAGUCGAACGGCAGCACAGGAGAGCUUGCUCUCUGGGUGGCGAGUGGCGGACGGGUGAGGAAUACAUCGGAAUCUACUUUUUCGUGGGGGAUAACGUAGGGAAACUUACGCUAAUACCGCAUACGACCUACGGGUGAAAGCAGGGGACCUUCGGGCCUUGCGCGAUUGAAUGAGCCGAUGUCGGAUUAGCUAGUUGGCGGGGUAAAGGCCCACCAAGGCGACGACCCGUAGCUGGUCUGAGAGGAUGAUGAGCCACACUGGAACUGAGACACGGUCCAGACUCCUACGGGAGGCAGCAGUGGGGAAUAUUGGACAAUGGGCGCAAGCCUGAUCCAGCCAUACCGCGUGGGUGAAGAAGGCCUUCGGGUUGUAAAGCCCUUCUGUUGGGAAAGAAAUCCAGCUGGCUAAUACCCGGUUGGGAUGACGGUACCCAAAGAAUAAGCACCGGCUAACUUCGUGCCAGCAGCCGCAGUAA